CAGCAGCCACGGUAAUACGAAGGGUGCAAGCGUUAAUCGGAAUUACCGGGCGUAAAGCGUGCGUAGGCGGUGAGUUAAGUCUGCUGUGAAAUCCCCGGGCUCAACCUGGGAAUGGCAGUGGAUACUGGCUCGCUAGAGUGUGUCAGAGGAUGGUGGAAUUCCCGGUGUAGCGGUGAAAUGCGUAGAGAUCGGGAGGAACAUCGGUGGCGAAGGCGGCCAUCUGGGACAACACUGACGCUGAGGCACGAAAGCGUGGGGAGCAAACAGGAUUAGAUACCCCAGUAGUCCCUGUCUCUUAUAC
RNAcentral lists this ribosomal RNA (301 nucleotides) under uncultured bacterium. Its description in RNAcentral is "partial 16S ribosomal RNA". It matches the Rfam family "Bacterial small subunit ribosomal RNA", at positions 509 to 807 of the family's 1533-position model. The record is from RNAcentral.